AGGGUUGUAGUUACUGAUAAUAUUUGAUUUGCAAUCAAAAGGUGCCUCUAGGGCCUACCUU
This 61-nucleotide transfer RNA is filed under the name Ephemerella sp. MT-2014. RNAcentral's name for it is "tRNA-Ala". The record is from RNAcentral. Lineage: Eukaryota; Metazoa; Arthropoda; Insecta; Ephemeroptera; Ephemerellidae.